GCCUACAAGAAGAAUAUUCAAACGUUAGUUGAACUUCAUUUAUGCGUGACGAUGUGACGAAAAUUCAGACAAUUGUAUCACGGGAAAAAGAGGAAAAACGAAGCCAAGCAUAAAGUCGAUUGGGUCAAAGGAUGGACCGAGCCAACAAGCGGAAGAGUCAGGGUCCCCGUUGAAAGUUCCGUGGGCGUUUAUGCAACCAAUGAGUUGCCAAAAUGAUAAGAGCUUUCUUUUCUGAAGUCUCGUGCCAGGCCGUGCACUGCCUACCCAUUACGUCCAUGCUUACGAUAAAUGGGGAAUUUCCUAUUAUCGCCUUUCAACACUCCACCGUAUAGCAAGCCUCGUCAACCUAACACUCAGGUAUCUCCCUGCCGUAUGGUGAAAAGCUUUGUCCCGAACUCCCAUCCCAAAAUGUCGUGUAGAGACUAAAACGCCCUCCAUGCUAUGUUGGUGUUCGCAAUAAAUAGCAACCUUGUCAUGGUUUUCCUGGGUAGUUAUUUAAAUUACAUCUUUUUUUUUUUUGUGAUCAAUUUAUACCAAUUUAAUUGUUUUAAUCCUUAUUAUAUAGAAAACUGAAUACAAUGCUAUCACUGUUACACUUGAUUAACUCA
Non-coding RNA from Theobroma cacao (cacao), 608 nucleotides. The record is from RefSeq and is a predicted model, not a curated record. Lineage: Eukaryota; Viridiplantae; Streptophyta; Magnoliopsida; Malvales; Malvaceae.